RNAcentral lists this ribosomal RNA (804 nucleotides) under uncultured bacterium. Its description in RNAcentral is "bacterial SSU rRNA". It matches the Rfam family "Bacterial small subunit ribosomal RNA", at positions 8 to 812 of the family's 1533-position model. The record is from RNAcentral.
AGAGUUUGAUCCUGGCUCAGGAUGAACGCUGGCGGCGUGCUUAACACAUGCAAGUCGAGCGAAGCACUUAAGUUUGAUUCUUCGGAUGAAGACUUUUGUGACUGAGCGGCGGACGGGUGAGUAACGCGUGGGUAACCUGCCUCAUACAGGGGGAUAACAGUUAGAAAUGACUGCUAAUACCGCAUAAGACCACAGGGUCGCAUGACCCGGUGGUAAAAACUCCGGUGGUAUGAGAUGGACCCGCGUCUGAUUAGCUAGUUGGUGGGGUAACGGCUCACCAAGGCGACGAUCAGUAGCCGACCUGAGAGGGUGACCGGCCACAUUGGGACUGAGACACGGCCCAAACUCCUACGGGAGGCAGCAGUGGGGAAUAUUGCACAAUGGGGGAAACCCUGAUGCAGCGACGCCGCGUGAAGGAUGAAGUAUUUCGGUAUGUAAACUUCUAUCAGCAGGGAAGAAAAUGACGGUACCUGACUAAGAAGCCCCGGCUAACUACGUGCCAGCAGCCGCGGUAAUACGUAGGGGGCAAGCGUUAUCCGGAUUUACUGGGUGUAAAGGGAGCGUAGACGGCAUGGCAAGUCUGAAGUGAAAGCCCGGGGCUCAACCUCGGGACUGCUUUGGAAACUGUCAGGCUAGAGUGCUGGAGAGGUAAGUGGAAUUCCUAGUGUAGCGGUGAAAUGCGUAGAUAUUAGGAGGAACACCAGUGGCGAAGGCGGCUUACUGGACAGUGACUGACGUUGAGGCUCGAAAGCGUGGGGAGCAAACAGGAUUAGAUACCCUGGUAGUCCACGCCGUAAACGAUGA